GUCUACGGCCAUGCCACAAUGAACAAGCCCAAUGUCUGAUCUCGGAAGCUAAGCAGGGUUGGGCCUGGUUAGCACUUGAAUGGGAGAUCACUUAGGGAGACCAGGUGCCGUAGGCA
Molecule: ribosomal RNA, 116 nt
Filed under: Pteropus alecto (black flying fox)
Lineage: Eukaryota; Metazoa; Chordata; Mammalia; Chiroptera; Pteropodidae
Source: RNAcentral